CAAUGAUAAUGAUGAUGAUGAUGAUGAUGAUGAAGAUGGUGAUGAUGCCACCGCAUUAGCGACACACCAUCAUCAUCAUCAUCAUCAUCAGCAAUCAUC
RNAcentral lists this microRNA precursor (99 nucleotides) under Bigelowiella natans CCMP2755. RNAcentral's name for it is "miRNA EPrBNAG00000013694". It matches the Rfam family "mir-598 microRNA precursor family". The record is from RNAcentral. Lineage: Eukaryota; Cercozoa; Chlorarachniophyceae.